UCAGCUUUAGGCUGAAGGGGUGGCCUCUCAGUCCUGCUUCUUGACCUAUGGACUGUGUUUGCAGUCCAACCUCAGGAUCCAGGGAGUUGUUGCUAUUUCUGCUGCCUUGGGAGCUGACUGAGGCUGUUGACCUAGAGACCAACUCCCAAGAUGUAAAUUUGCUGAACAAAGGGGGACUAAAUUGAGCUGACUCCUCACCAAAAUAAAGCUCACAUCCUCUGUACUUGGUUGAGGACCAUGUGUUGCUACUGAGCUACUGUGCAUCACUGCCCACUGAGAAACUAGAUGCCUACCUGUACAUCACCCUACUAGCUUGCUCCUUUAGGUUUCCAUCAGAAGCCAUGUUUGACUCCAAAUGGGGGAUAGAAGCCCCACCAAAUGAAUAAACCACAUUGAAUCUUGUGA
Erinaceus europaeus (western European hedgehog) is the source of this 405-nucleotide long non-coding RNA. RefSeq lists it as uncharacterized. Lineage: Eukaryota; Metazoa; Chordata; Mammalia; Eulipotyphla; Erinaceidae. The transcript has 2 exons. The record is from RefSeq and is a predicted model, not a curated record.